Molecule: ribosomal RNA, 644 nt
Filed under: uncultured bacterium
Lineage: Bacteria
Description: bacterial SSU rRNA
Rfam family: Bacterial small subunit ribosomal RNA
Source: RNAcentral
GAGUUUGAUCCUGGCUCAGGAUGAACGCUGGCGGCGUGCUUAACACAUGCAAGUCGAACGGGGAUGGCCCGCCGAGGAAGCUUCGGCCGAAUCAUGGGACAUCUUAGUGGCGGACGGGUGAGUAACGCGUGGGCAACCUGCCCUGUACAGGGGGAUAACACUUAGAAAUAGGUGCUAAAACCGCAUAAGCGCACAGCUUCGCAUGAAGAAGUGUGAAAAACUCCGGUGGUACAGGAUGGACCCGCGUCUGAUUAGCUAGUUGGAGGGGUAACGGCCCACCAAGGCGACGAUCAGUAGCCGGCCUGAGAGGGUGAACGGCCACAUUGGGACUGAGACACGGCCCAAACUCCUACGGGAGGCAGCAGUGGGGAAUAUUGCACAAUGGGGGAAACUCUGACGCAGUGACGCCGCGUAUAGGAAGAAGUUUUUCGGAAUGUAAACUAUUGUCGUUAGGGAAGAGAAAGGACGGUACCUAAGGAGGAAGCCCCGGCUAACUACGUGCCAGCAGCCGCGGUAAUACGUAGGGGGCAAGCGUUAUCCGGAUUUACUGGGUGUAAAGGGAGCGCAGACGGCACAGCAAGUCUGGAGUGAAAGCCCGCGGCUCAACCGCGGGACUGCUCUGGAAACUGUUGAGCUUGAGUGCA